UACGGGAGGCAGCAGUGGGGAAUAUUGCACAAUGGGCGAAAGCCUGAUGCAGCUAUGCCGCGUGUAUGAAGAAGGCCUUAGGGUUGUAAAGUACUUUCAUCGGGGAGGAAAAACAAAACUAAUAAUUUUAUUUCUUGACGUUACCCGAAAAAGAAGCACCGGCUAACUCCGUGCCAGCAGCCGCGGUAAUACGGAGGGUGCUAGCGUUAAUCAGAAUUACUGGGCGUAAAGAGCACGUAGGUGGUUUUUUUAAGUCAGAUGUGAAAUCCCUGGGCUUAACCUGGAACUGCAUUUUGAAACUGAAAUACUAGAGUAUCGUAGAGGGAGGUAGAAUUCUAGGUGUAGCGGUGAAAUGCGUAGAUAUCUGGAGGAAUACCUGUGGCGAAAGUGGCCUCCUAAACGAAUACUGACACUGAGGUGCGAAAGCGUGGGGAGCAAAC
RNAcentral lists this ribosomal RNA (440 nucleotides) under uncultured bacterium. RNAcentral's name for it is "bacterial SSU rRNA". It matches the Rfam family "Bacterial small subunit ribosomal RNA", at positions 340 to 773 of the family's 1533-position model. The record is from RNAcentral.